This 430-nucleotide ribosomal RNA is filed under the name uncultured bacterium. RNAcentral describes it as "bacterial SSU rRNA". It matches the Rfam family "Bacterial small subunit ribosomal RNA", at positions 354 to 796 of the family's 1533-position model. The record is from RNAcentral.
GUGGGGAAUAUUGCACAAUGGGCGAAAGCCUGAUGCAGCGACGCCGCGUGGGGGAUGACGGCCUUCGGGUUGUAAACCUCUUUCAGCAAGGAAGAAGCGAAAGUGACGGUACUUGCAGAAGAAGCGCCGGCUAACUACGUGCCAGCAGCCGCGGUAAUACGUAGGGCGCAAGCGUUGUCCGGAAUUAUUGGGCGUAAAGGGCUUGUAGGUGGCUUGUCGCGUCUGCCGUGAAAACUCGAGGCUUAACCUUGGGCGUGCGGUGGGUACGGGCAGGCUAGAGUGCGGUAGGGGAGACUGGAAUUCCUGGUGUAGCGGUGAAAUGCGCAGAUAUCAGGAGGAACACCGAUGGCGAAGGCAGGUCUCUGGGCCGUUACUGACACUGAGAAGCGAAAGCAUGGGGAGCGAACAGGAUUAGAAACCCUAGUAGUCC